GCGGACGUGGCGGAACUUGGUAUACGCGCAUGCUUGAGGUGCAUGUGGGGCAACCCUUGGAGGUUCGAGUCCUCUCGUCCGCA
Non-coding RNA from Candidatus Buchananbacteria bacterium, 83 nucleotides. The record is from Rfam. Lineage: Bacteria; Candidatus Buchananiibacteriota.